RNAcentral lists this ribosomal RNA (1430 nucleotides) under metagenome. RNAcentral's name for it is "eukaryotic LSU rRNA". It matches the Rfam family "Eukaryotic large subunit ribosomal RNA", at positions 1777 to 3208 of the family's 3401-position model. The record is from RNAcentral.
AAUUUGUUCGGUUCUCCAAUCACGCUCCUUGAAAAACCCAGGGCCAAAUCUCUUAACAAGAUUCUUCCAACACGCUUUCGUACUCAAAACCGCCUCAGGUUUCCAAGGUGAAUAGCCUCUAGUGCAUAGAAGAAUGUGGGUAAAGGAAUUCGGCAAAAUAGAUUCGUAACUUUGGGAAAAGAAUUGGCUCUGAAGAAUGGGUAAGUGGGGUUAGAUUUGACGAGUUUAGAUUUGAAUCAACCUGGGAGCAAUCUUGGGAAGGUUUAGGUUUGCUUUCAACGAGUUUAACUUUUUAAAAAACUGCUUACGACAAACAUUCAAUUCAGAACUGGCACGAACACAGAAAAUCCGACUGUUUAAUUAAAACAAAGCAUUGUGAAGGUCCGUAAGGAUGUAGACACAAUGUGAUUUCUGCCCAGUGCUCUGAAUGUAAAGGUGAAGGAAUUCAAACAAGCGCGGGUAAACGGCGGGAGUAACUAUGACUCUCUUAAGGUAGCCAAAUGCCUCGUCAUCUAAUUGUGACGCGCACGAAUGGAUUAAUGAGAUUCUCACUGUCUCUACCCACCAUCUAGCGAAACCACAGCCAAGGGAACGGGCUUGGAAACGAAAGCGGGGAAAGAAGACCCUGUUGAGCUUGACUCUAGUCUGCUUCUGUGAAAAGACUUUGGGGGUGUAGCGUAUGGAGGAGCUUUAAUCGGCGAACUUGAAACACUCCAACCUCGAACGUCUUUUUACUUCGGGCGUUAAAUGGAAAUUGUUUGCUUUACUGUAAACUUUUAUUCGAAUCAAAUGCAUUUUAAAAUGCUUGUGAUCCAAGCGCUCAACAAAAGCAGGUGGGGAGUUUGACUGGGGCGGUACAUCUGCGAAAAAAAUAGCGCAGGUGAACUAAGGCGGGCUCAAUGAGAAGAGAAAUCUCAUGUAGAGCUAAAGGGUAAAAGCCCGCUUGAUUUAGUCUUUCAGUGUGAGAACAAACAAGGAAACUUUGUCCUAUCGAUCCUUUAUGUGCCCAGAACCUGGGCCUAGAGGUGUCAGAAAAGUUACCACAGGGAUAACUGGCUUGUGGCUGCCAAGCGUCCAAAGCGACGUAGCUUUUUGAUCCUUCGAUGUCGGCUCUUCUCAUCAUUCCGUUGCAGAAGGCGGAAAGUGUCAGAUUGUUCACCUGUAAAAGAGGAACGUGAGCUGGGUUUAGACCGUCGUGAGACAGGUUAGUUUUACCCUACUUUCAGAUUGAUUUCUUGAUUCGACACGGGGGUAGUACGAGAGGAACUGCCCGUGGCCGCAUUUGGUUCGUGCUUUCGUUGAAAAACGAGUGAGCAGAUGCUACGCGGUCUGCGAUAAAAACUGAAGGCCUCUAAAGUUUGAAUCGCACGAAAAAAUGGAAGUCUAUGUUGCACAAUUUAUCCAAACGCAAAAAUAUGUGUAUGCUUUGU